UUGUUCAAAUACUUAUUAUGAUAUGUGAACGAACGUAGUCUCUACGAACACACUCUUGUAAACUUUUACAGGGCUUGAAUUUGUUUUUUGUAUACAAGGAAAUGGAUUUAACAUACUCAAAAUAUUUAUGUUUUCUGAUGAUUUUUUGGAUAAUAUCAGUAGAUACCUAUCUGAAACAAUUCGACUUGCCCCGCUUGUCAGAAGAAUGUUUGAAUGGAACGUUUGGUUAUAGAUGUAUUUUCCGAUGUCGAUGUCAUGAGGACCAAGCAUGCAAUAAGAAGACGGGAGAAUGCCAUAGUGGAAGAUGUGCGGAGGGAUUUUGGGGACCACGAUGUCAGCUUUCAAACAACUGCUUUUAUAAUGGACAAGCAGACAAUUAUAUGGGAACAGUAGCAGUGACUUACAAUAAUUACACCUGUCAGAAAUGGGUAAACGAAUUUCAUUUUUAUACAGAGGCAAAUUUUCCAGAUCGGACGAUGCCGGAAAAUUACUGCCGAACUGCUCAGGAUUCUGAUCGACCCUGGUGUUACACGACCAACAAAGACACGAGAUGGGAAUAUUGUAACAUAAAUA
Mytilus californianus (California mussel) is the source of this 573-nucleotide long non-coding RNA. RefSeq lists it as uncharacterized. The record is from RefSeq and is a predicted model, not a curated record. NCBI's taxonomy places the organism in Eukaryota, Metazoa, Mollusca, Bivalvia, Mytilida, Mytilidae. The transcript is spliced from 3 exons.